GAGAUUUAGUCAUACUGUUAGGUAGUGGCGGACCCAAGUACUGGCGAGCUAAGGCCGGCAGUGGAGAAUCUAGGUACUGACGAGCUAUGACGGUCGUCCUAGCUGGAUCCGCCGUAAUGUUCAUUAUUGCAGUCGUUAGCAGGCUUGUCCACCGGGAAGAAACUUGAAAAGCAAAGCUGCAGAGGCUGAAGAAAGCAAAGAUGAAGAAGAUGAUGCUACGAAAUUGGGCCUACUCCCCCCACAUUUUGGGCCUUUUUAAAAAAAAUUGAGGCCCAAAUCCAAUGGCCCAAUACCUUGAAAUUAAUGGACGGCUGGAGUGGAUAUGUUUCCAUUGCAUUUACCAAUUCGAAGAGUCCAAACUCCAAAAUUUAAACCAAUCAACCAAGGGCUAAACGGAACUGCUGAAGGCGAAGGGCGAUUGCGAAGACAGUGGACUGGUGCCUGGCAAAGUGGUGCGAGUUGAGUGGAUGGUGAGUCGAUGACCGGUGAGCCGUGAGCAACAAGGAGGUGGACGAUGGAGUGGUGUGAUCGUGCGAGUUGAGUGAACGUCAAUGACUGCGAGUGCGACUCCUUGCCUUGGUGAGCUAUUCAGGCUUUUAUUUAUUUUUAUUUAUUUUUGAUUUUGAUGAUUUAAUUUGAUUGUUAUGUUAAAUGUGAUGAUUAUGAUUUAUGAAAAUUGGGGAAUUUGUAAAUUUUGUAAAUAUGUGAAUUGGGAAUUUUAUGAUUUGUGAGAAAUGUUCAAUUUGUGUUGGAAAUUGAUUAUAGUUUAAGUCUUUAAGAUUAAGUUUAAUUUUCAUAUAGAUUAUGUUAAUUGGGAAAAUUACUACCGAUCUUGAUUCUUGAGGUUAAUCGACACUUUUGUCUUCAUUUUAAUUUUUUUUUUUUUUUUUGGCAUUGAGGUGAGGUCUCUGUAUGAUGAAUAAAUGAGAGUUGUGAUUUGUGAUUUAAGAUAAAUAAUUUAUGUUGUAUGAGUUAUGAGUUAUAAUUUAUCAUUCAUAAUAUUUGAUUGGUGAUUUGAGAAUUUAUGAGACCCAUAGAAUGCCGUUGUCUAAGUUUAUAGUAUCGUACAUUUUUUUUAGUAUUUUGGGUUGUAUUGAAUUAUAUUUUCAUAUGUAUAUACUUUUUUAUAUUUUAGUGCAUUUACA
RNAcentral lists this long non-coding RNA (1145 nucleotides) under Olea europaea subsp. europaea. The record is from RNAcentral. Lineage: Eukaryota; Viridiplantae; Streptophyta; Magnoliopsida; Lamiales; Oleaceae.